AACGAACGCUGGCGGCAUGCCUAACACAUGCAAGUCGAACGAGACCUUCGGGUCUAGUGGCGCACGGGUGCGUAACGCGUGGGAACCUGCCCUUAGGUUCGGAAUAACUCCCCGAAAGGGGUGCUAAUACCGGAUAAUGUCUUCGGACCAAAGAUUUAUCGCCUUUGGAUGGGCCCGCGUUGGAUUAGCUAGUUGGUAGGGUAAAAGCCUACCAAGGCGACGAUCCACAGCUGGUAUGAGAGGAUGAUCAGCCACACUGGGACUGAGAAACGGCCCAGACUCCUACGGGAGGGAGCAGUGGGGAAUAUUGGAACAUGGGCGAAGGCAUGAUGCAGCAAUGCCGGGUGAGUGAUGAAGGCCUUAGGGUUGUAAAGCUCUUUUACCCGGGAUGAUAAUGACAGUACCGGGAGAAUAAGCUCCGGCUAACUCCGUG
Molecule: ribosomal RNA, 433 nt
Filed under: uncultured bacterium
Lineage: Bacteria
Description: partial 16S ribosomal RNA
Rfam family: Bacterial small subunit ribosomal RNA
Source: RNAcentral